CCUACGGGUGACAGCAGUGAGGAAUAUUGGUCAAUGGGCGAGAGCCUGAACCAGCCAAGUAGCGUGAAGGAUGAAUGCUCUAUGGGUUGUAAACUUCUUUUAUAUGGGAAUAAAGUGAGGCACGUGUUCCUUUUUGUAUGUACCAUAUGAAUAAGCAUCGGCUAACUCCGUGCCAGCAGCCGCGGUAAUACGGAGGAUUCGAGCGUUAUCCGGAUUUAUUGGGUUUAAAGGGUGCGUAGGUGGGUAAUUAAGUCAGGUGUGAAAGUUUGUGGCUCAACCAUAAAAUUGCAGUUGAAACUGGUUGACUUGAGUAUAUUUGAGGUAGGCGGAAUGCGUGGUGUAGCGGUGAAAUGCAUAGAUAUCACGCAGAACUCCGAUUGCGAAGGCAGCUUACUAAACUAUAACUGACAUUGAAGCACGAAAGCGUGGGGAUCAAACAGGAUUAGAUACCCCUGUAGUC
RNAcentral lists this ribosomal RNA (460 nucleotides) under uncultured bacterium. Its description in RNAcentral is "partial 16S ribosomal RNA". It matches the Rfam family "Bacterial small subunit ribosomal RNA", at positions 338 to 795 of the family's 1533-position model. The record is from RNAcentral.